Molecule: long non-coding RNA, 271 nt
Filed under: Homo sapiens (human)
Lineage: Eukaryota; Metazoa; Chordata; Mammalia; Primates; Hominidae
Description: non-protein coding lnc-SLC16A13-2:1
Source: RNAcentral
UUGAUAGAACCAGCUUCUAGGUUCAGGAAGGAAACCAGGCUGAUUCUCAGGCAGGAGGAGGCAGAGUACGUAUGACUCAAUCCCUCUUUGCCUUUAAUGAAAGUGACGGAGAAGAUUUUCCGCUUAAGAAGGAGGAUACCCUGAGAAUUUAUAAAAGCCUGAAGAGCAGUCGUGGAACACAGAGGACAGCAAAGGCAAGAGAGGGGUGAUUCCAGUUCCUUACGUCGAGAAGUAGAGACCUGCCUCUACCUCAGUAUUUGCUCUGAUUGGA